CGAACGCUGAAAUUCCAUCUUCUGUUUGUUGUCACCCGCCGGCCUGUUUCCAUGGUUACCUAGAUUCCAGGCGCUGGCCCAGGGCCCACCACAACCCAUCCCUCAAAGUCUCCCUGGCCGAGGAGAGGCAUUCCUUCUUGGUGCGGACGCCAGAAAGGAGCGGCGUCUGCCCCUCCAGCCCCGCUCCUCCCCCGGCGAGUGCGUGAUGUGCGCCUUCUAGGUGGUUCUGUUUAGCAUCAGUUUUGGGGUAUUUCUCUUUGACAGAUGCCUCGAGGUGGAAUGCUGGGUUGGAUGCCAUGCACACUGAACGCUCCGAUAGAUCCUGACGAAUUGCUCUAAAAGAUGGCUGCUCCAAAAUACACAGCCUCCAAGAGACAGCCCGUUUCCCCUCACCCUCACCCACAGUGAAUUCUAUCAGUCAAUUUUUAAGUGUUCACAUUGUGAUGAAGGAGAAAUGAUUUCAUUGUUGGUUUAAUUUGCAUCUGUCUGAUUAUUAUUAGGGUUGAUCAUUGUGUCAGAGUCCAGCUACAAAUGAAAGAAGCCACUCUGGUUAAGAAAAGGGGUGGGGGAACUACUUGAGUUAAAAUAGGGGAUCAGGUGCUUAUAAUUUUGUCAGAUCUGGUGGAAGAGCAGGUUCUAGUUUGAGCUUCUAGGAUCGACUCCCAGAACUCCAGCUCAGAACCCACCCACCAAAGGAGUCUCCUCUUCUGCCAUGACCAGGAAACUGGGGAUUCGGGAAGCUGUGCCCCAACAGCUGACUCUCCAUUCUGGAAACCAGGAAGCCUCAGCCACACCUGGUCUCCAGGAGCACACUGCCUCAGCUGCCCUGAUCCUGCCCACAUCACCAUGCAGCUGGAGACUGCAUCUAGAUGCUAGAUCUCUGCUGUGUUGAUGCAGGAAAAAAACCAAACCAGACCAAACCAAACACAAAAAAUAAUGACCCCCUUUAACCCUGUGUGCCACCAGACUCUGUAGGUCUCUUGAGGGUACAUCUGCCCUGGGGAAACCAGGUCAUAUGCAGAAGCUCAGCUCUAAGGGAACCUGGGAAUUGUAGCUUUCCUGGCUCCAGUAUGCAGCAAGGCAAGCUACAAAGGUGUAGAUACGGAGUUGAGUGUAUCGAUCUGAAAUAUCUGCCAUGAUCAUGUUUUCAUGUUUUGUAUCUUCUUUCUGUGAAUUGCCCACUUAUACUUCUUGCCCAUUUUUCUAUUUGAGUUAUCUUUUUCUUACUAAUUUAUAGAAGCUUUAUGGGUUACCUGGAAAAUAACCUUUUGUCUGUUAUAUAUAUUAAGACCACUUUCUAGUCUUUUAAAGUUACAUCUUUUGUCAUGUAGAAAUAUCAAGUUUAUCUGUUUUUAUAAUUUCUGAUUCCUAGGUUUAGUAGCUUACUUAAGAAGGCCUCCUCUAUCUCAAGGUUCCU
This 1417-nucleotide long non-coding RNA is filed under the name Equus asinus (donkey). RNAcentral's name for it is "lncRNA (ENSEASG00005024799.1)". Lineage: Eukaryota; Metazoa; Chordata; Mammalia; Perissodactyla; Equidae. The record is from RNAcentral.